AAUAAGGAGGAUUCCAGCGUUAUCCCCAAUCAUGGUUUAAAAGGUACAUUCGCGGUCUUAUAAUUCAUGUUGAAAUCCGGCAGAUCAACUGUCGAAUUGCUCAGUGAUACUGUUAAGACAGGGAUGCUGUGAAAGUAAUAGAAUAAGUAGUGUAGCGGUGAAAUGCUAGAUAUUACAUGGAAUACCAAUUGCGAAAGGCAGGUUACUAACAUUAUAUUGACGCUGAUGGACGAAAGCGUGGGUAGCGAACAGGAUUAGAUACCCUGGUAGUCCACGCCGUAAACGAUGGAUACUAGCUGUUCGGAUGCAAAUCUGAGUGGCUAAGCGAAAGUGAUAAGUAUCCCACCUGGGGAGUACGAACGCAAGUUUGAAACUCAAAGGAAUUGACGGGGGCCCGCACAAGCGGUGGAGCAUGUGGUUUAAUUCGAUGAUACGCGAGGAACCUUACCAGGGCUUAAAUGUAGAGUGACAGGACUGGAAACAGUUUUUUCUUCGGACACUUUACAAGGUGCUGCAUGGUUGUCGUCAGCUCGUGCCGUGAGGUGUCAGGUUAAGUCCUAUAACGAGCGCAACCCCUGUUGUUAGUUGCCAGCGAGUAAUGUCGGGAACUCUAACAAGACUGCCGGUGCAAACCGUGAGGAAGGUGGGGAUGACGUCAAGUCCUCAUGGCCCUUACGGGCUGGGCUACACACGUGCUACAAUGGCGGUGACAGUGGGAUGCAAACUCGCGAGGGUGAGCAAAUCUCCAAAAGCCGUCUCAGUUCGGAUUGCACUCUGCAACUCGAGUGCAUGAAGUUGGAAUCGCUAGUAAUCGUGGAUCAGCAUGCCACGGUGAAUACGUUCCCGGGCCUUGUACACACCGCCCGUCACACCAUGGGAGUUGGCUUUACCCGAAGGCGCUGCGCUAACCCGCAAGGGAGGCAGGCGACCACGGUAGUCAGCACUAC
RNAcentral lists this ribosomal RNA (947 nucleotides) under uncultured bacterium. Its description in RNAcentral is "bacterial SSU rRNA". It matches the Rfam family "Bacterial small subunit ribosomal RNA", at positions 522 to 1478 of the family's 1533-position model. The record is from RNAcentral.